RNAcentral lists this long non-coding RNA (760 nucleotides) under Mustela putorius furo (domestic ferret). RNAcentral's name for it is "lncRNA (ENSMPUG00000031714.1)". The record is from RNAcentral. Lineage: Eukaryota; Metazoa; Chordata; Mammalia; Carnivora; Mustelidae.
GGCAAAAACAGAACUGAUAACACACACACACAUCCAAGAAUCAUCAGAGGCAUGGUCUCAUUACUUACCUGCGCAUGGUGGCCACAGGAGGUGAAACGUCGUCUGUCAGGCAUGGAAGUGCCUUACGUACUCCUUCCACCUUCGCUGGGGCUCUGAGCACGAUGCUAGGCACACAACUGCAGCAGUUCCCUCUUACCUGCGGUUUUGAUUUUGCUCUCAGAGGUUUCAGUUACCCACAGUCACCUGUGGUCCCAGAGCAGUGGCUCCUCCUUCUGACCAAUCAGAAGUCAGAGAACGUGGGCGGUCGCCUAAUGCUACGUCACAGCACGCACGUCACAACGCCCACCCACGUCGCAGCGCUCACGUCACAGCACUCACGUCGAAGCGCCUCCGUCACAGAGCCCAAGUCAGUGUCCACGUUGCAAGCACCCAAGUCACUCACAUCACUUGUCUUACCAGGCGGCUAUUUUAUCCUCUCACAGUAUCAUAGCAAGAAAGGGAUCUAACUAAUGCAAAACACAUAAGAAAUAAGAGGAAUGAAUAUUCAAAAAGAAGAGGCAGGACUCUCACCAUUUGCUGACAAGGAUGUAUUAGAGAAGAAUCACUCCCCACCUCCAAGAAAAAGAUUAGAAAAGGUAAAAUAUGUCAACAAGUAGCUUAUACAUAAGAUCAACCUACAAAAUCAAUUGCUUUUCUAAACACUGUCAAAAAUUUUUUAAAUGAAAAAAAUCAUGGUUAAAUAGCUACUACUACUAUGAAC